AGAGUUUGAUCCUGGCUCAGCCUGAACGCUGGCGGCGUGGCUAAGACAUGCAAGUCGCACGGAACCCGCAAGGGUUCAGUGGCGAACGGGUGAGUAAUGAAUCGCUAACGUACCCCGGACUCUGGGAUAGCUGCCCGAAAGGGCAGGUAAUACCAGAUGAUAUAACUCCUUCGCAUGAAGGGGUUCUCAAAGGUCCGCCGGUCUGGGAGCGGGCGAUUUCGUAUCAGCUAGUUGGUGAGGUAGCGGCUCACCAAGGCGACGACGCGUAGCCGGACUGAGAGGUUGGCCGGCCACAUUGGGACUGAGACACUGCCCAGACUCCUACGGGGGGCUGCAGUAACGAAUCUUCCGCAAUGCACGAAAGUGUGACGGAGCGACGCCGCGUGUAGGACGAAGCCCUUCGGGGUGUAAACUACUGUCAGGGGUUAGAAAGUUCUGAUCAACCCCAGAGGAAGGCACGGCUAACUCUGUGCCAGCAGCCGCGGUAAGACAGAGGUGCCAAGCGUUAGGCGGAAUCACUGGGCUUAAAGCGUGUGUAGGCGGAUCGUUAAGUACCUUGUGAAAUCCCACGGCUUAACCGUGGAACUGCUGGGUAUACUGGCGAUCUUGAGCCACCUAGGGGCGAGCGGAACAAAUGGUGGAGCGGUGAAAUGCGUAGAUAUCAUUUGGAACGCCAACGGUGAAAACAGCUCGCUGGGGGUGUGCUGACGCUGAGACACGAAAGCCAGGGGAGCGAACGGGAUUAGAUACCCCGGUAGUCCUGGCCGUAAACGAUGUCGACUAGAUCGCAGUCCCUCUGACGGGAUUGCGGUCGAAGCAAAAGUGCUAAGU
RNAcentral lists this ribosomal RNA (831 nucleotides) under uncultured bacterium. RNAcentral describes it as "bacterial SSU rRNA". It matches the Rfam family "Bacterial small subunit ribosomal RNA", at positions 8 to 865 of the family's 1533-position model. The record is from RNAcentral.